UUUUAUGACCUGUGUGUUGCAAUAGCUCGCGAAUUAAAGGUGCCUUGUUUAUUUUAAUUGUGGGUUAUAUAGAAAACGAAGGAAACAACAAAGUUUGCCCCUUUUUCGCGUUUGUCAAAACACACGGUGGAAAAUAGGUCAUAUCUCGGAAAACCCUUUAUCAUAUUUUUUAUUUUAUAAUUGGACAAGAGUGCAUUCUUAAGAUGCACCCCUGAACCACUGCAAAAUUUGGUCGUAAUUGCCUUAAAAUGGCUUCUAAAGAUUGCCUUUUUUGGCAUUUUUCAAAACACGCGGUGGGAAACAGACCAUAUCUCGAGAACCCGUUAUUAUGUUUUUGUUAUUUUUCUAUUUUAUGAUAGGGCAAGAGUGCAUUUUAAAAAUGCACCUUUGAACCCUCGCGAAGUUCCGUCGUAACUGCCUUAAAAUAGCCUCUAAAGUUUGCCCUUUUCUUGCAUUUUUCAAAGCACGUGGUGGAAAACAGGCCAUAUCUCGAGAACCCUUUGUCAUAUUUUAAUAUUUUCUUUAUUUUAUGAUACGGCAAGAGUGCAUUUUUAAAAUGUACCCCUCAAUUCCCGCAAAAUUUGAUCGUAACUGCCUCAAAAUGGUCGCUAAAGUUACGCCUUUUCUUGCAAUAUUCAAAACACGCGGUGGAAAACAGGCCAUAUCUCGGGAACCCUUUGUCAUAUUUAAGUUAUUUCUCGAUUUUAUUAUAGGACAAGAGUGCAUUUUUAAAAUAUACCCUGAAGCUCUGCCUAAGUCGCUCGUAACUGCCUCAAAAUGGCCGCCAAAAUUUGAACUUGUCGUGCAUUUAUCAUAACACGCCGUGGAAAGCAGACCAUCUCUCGGAACAUUUCAUUAUUUUUUCAUUUCUGUGGAUUCUGUUAGCGCAAGAAUUCUUCGUGAAGAUACAGUUUCUUCACUGCGUUAUACCCUCAGAAUAUGUUUAGUCUAUUACUGAUUAGUCGUAGGUACGGAGCAUGUAACUUAAGUAACUAUCGAUAUGUUUAUAUUUAUUAAGUGAUUAUAAUUGCCAGGACCGUGUGACCGAUGCCUUGCCCUGUUCAAUGUGUAUAGUUCAACAUGUAUAUACAAUACCUAUGGUAUUUUCUUAAUAGAUCCAAGCGAUUUUCGCCGUUUGUUUUGCAAUUUUUAAUGCGAUUUUAUAUGCGGAAUUUCAUAAUUGUUUAAGCGAUGUUCCAACUCUCGUUCUCUUCUCUGUUUUAGUACUUCCUUUCGAGUUCCAACGGCCGAGUCACGAGAUAAAUUAGAAUGCGAAUUUGAUUCGCUUAGUCGGUUGACUGCCAAUUUAAAAUAAAAUAAAUAAUGGCAGCACCCCUUUCCACACUUCCCCUCGAUAAUGUAAUUUAUUUUGCGGAUUUUUCUCAGCUUCAACACUAGUCUUAGUGUUGCAACGCGUGAAAUACUUGUAUGGUAUCAUUAGGUGUUUGUGUUGUACUUAUGCACACGUCCUCGUAAUACGUAUGUCACGUUUUAGUCAUUGCACGCGAACGGGGCGUCACACAAACUAGAGCGCGUCGUUAUUAGAUGUUGUCUAGCUUUAACUCGCGAAGAGGACGUCUCUAGAGGUGUUAAAUUAAAUUCUCCGUGGGGUUAAAUUAAUUUGUUGCGGGAGUGACGCAUUGGUAAAUUCGAAAAUUGGGGUAUUAAGUGGGAUUUUCACAUGCAGGGUGAAAUUGUUAGAGUUUUUUCGGUAUAGCUCGAGAGAGAGGCGGCUUAGAAAUUUCCGCGCGAUCUUUAGAGAUGUUAAAUUAAAGUCUCCGUCGGAUAGUGUUGUUUUAUGCUGGAAUUCGACCUGCAACACGGGAAAAUUUGCAUAAAAGGGUGAUUUUUUUACCCUUUCUCGUGAAAUAUUUCUAUUUUUGCAAAAAUGUCAUUUUUGUGCUUCUCUGUACUGAUUUUUGGUAGUUUUAGAUGUCUAGCGGGCAAAUGAAAUGUCCCAGGUCAACGAUUCUUCCAUCAGAUUCGGGCGAAUGAAAUGUCCUAGGGCAACGAUUAUUUCAUCAUAUUGUGUCUAGCGGGCAAAUUAAAUGUCCUAGGACAACGAUUCUUUCAUCAGAUUGCGUAUGAAAUGUCCUAGGACAACAAUUCUUUCAUCAUAUUGUGUCUAGAGGGCAAAGGAAAUGUCCUAGGGCAACGAUUAUUUCAUCAUAUUGUGCCUAGCGGGCAAACUAAAUGUCCUAGGACAACGAUUAUUUCAUCAUAUUGAAAGUGUUUAGUGGGCGAACAAAAUAUCCUGGGAUAAUGAUUCAUUCAUCAGAUUGUGUCUAGCGGGCGAACGAAAUAUCCUAGGACAGCCAUUCUUUCAUCAGAUUGUGUCUAGCGGGCGAAUGAAAUAUUUUAGGACAGCGCUUCUUUCAUCAGAUUGUGUCUAGCGGGCGAACGAAAUAUCCAAGGACAGCGAUUCUUUCAUCAGAUUGUGUCUAGCGGGCGAAUGAAAUGUCCUAGGACAACGAUUCUUGCAUCAGAUUGUGUCUAGCGGGCGAAUGAAAUGACCUAGGACAACGAUUCUUGCAUCAGAUUGUGUCUAGUGGGCGAACGAAAUAUCCUAGGACAGCGAUUCUUUCAGCAGAUUGUGUCUAGCGGGCGAAUGAAAUGUCCUAGGACAACGAUUCUUUCAUCAGAUUGUGUCUAGCGGGCGUACGAAAUAUCCUAGGACAGCAAUUCUUUCACCAAAUUGUAAGUGUUAAAAUUCUUUAUUAUUCGAAAUUUUUUGUUAAAAUUUUUUCGGUCGUAAAACAGGGGCGAACUUUUGUAAUCGAAUUUAUUUUACAUGAAAAUUUUUCGGUCAAAGAACAGGGUCGAACUAUUUUGUUAAAAUAAUUUUCGGUCAAAGAACAGAGUCAAAUUUUUUGGCGAUUAUGUCAAGAACAAAAAGGUCUACGAAAAUCGAAUGCGUUUUCUCUAAAAUUGUAAAUAUGGUUUAAACGGUUAAUGUUAUCAAAAAAGUUACUAAAACACUCGAUGUAGGAUUAAAUUAUCUAUCAGGUUUCCGAUUUAAAAUAUAAUUGAAAUUAAUAGUUCCAAGCAUUGUACGAGUACAAUUCUUUUCAUGUUCUGCAUUACCACAUUGAAAGUGUCAGUGUUUACAAACAAACAUGUUUUCUUAUGUCGUGCAAUUUUUGUGCGAUCGCCACGCGGUUGGCUUGUGUACCACGUUAGUCUCAUUUUUGUCGUCAGGUGAUCUGCACGCACAUUUUCUUCAUUAUUCAAUCAUUCAUUAUUUAUUCAUUAUUCUUGAGUUGCUAAAUGUUUCAUCGAUUGUGCGGGGUUCGUACCACGUGGAUUGUACAUACUCAGAGGUUAAAUGUGAUUGAUGUUCCGUCGGCCGUCGGAUACUCUUUUUGUAUCAUACGCGUAUUUCAUAUUUAUUUCGUAUUUUCUGUGGAUAUGCCAAACGCGCAAAAAUGUAUUUUGCAUCAAGGUAUGUUCUCGCAUUUCUUCAGCUAUAUGAAAAUCAAAUCCAUUAUUGACUUAAUUUGUUUUUACUUCAACCGCGUGGUCUUUAACCACAUAAAUAAUUAUUAAAAAUUAUAAUUUUUGUCUCUGUUUCAAUACCUACGUUGAUUUGCAAUACGCAUUCGAUACAUUGUUUCUUUUUCGUUUAAUGUACACAUUAAAAAGAUUAAGAUUGUCAUGUGCCGUCGGUUGCGUUCUUAAUUCUUUGGCGACUUUUUCCGGCUAAACCCAUUACCCACCACUAUUAGAUACAAUAUAAGAUAAUAAGAAAGAAAUAUUUUGCAUUUUUUAUGAUGAAAUCUUUUUUUCAGCUAGUGCAGCUUUUGAAACAAUUGGAAUUUUUAAAUUCUGUUUUUGGAUUUUGAAAGAUAAUUUAAUUUUUAAUAGAUUAUUUAAGUAAUUAUUUUUCUAUCAUUGACGGUUUAGGCCCUAUAUGCAAUUUUAAUAAAAAUGAUUUAUACAUGCCAAAAUGGCUUUAAUUUGCAAUUGUGUUACAUGGUUCGGAUUUAGAAUUUAAUAU
Molecule: long non-coding RNA, 3997 nt
Organism: Dalotia coriaria
Lineage: Eukaryota; Metazoa; Arthropoda; Insecta; Coleoptera; Staphylinidae
Exons: 15
Source: RefSeq, a predicted model, not a curated record